Molecule: long non-coding RNA, 481 nt
Organism: Balaenoptera ricei (Rice's whale)
Lineage: Eukaryota; Metazoa; Chordata; Mammalia; Artiodactyla; Balaenopteridae
Exons: 3
Source: RefSeq, a predicted model, not a curated record
GAGGACCUAGGUUUGUACCAUUCUGAGGAUGUUCAGACUGUGGACCUCUCAGAGUAGCCACUACUAAUAGCAGUUCUUCUUCUUCAAUGAAUCAGGGCUAGUCUAUGUGAACAACAGUGUAUGGCAGAGGUUACAGUGGUUGACUUCCAAGGCAUGUGAGAUCUGAGUUCCCCAACCAGGGAUGGAACCCUUGCCCACCUGCAUUGGAAGCGCAGAGUCUUAACCACUGGACCGCCAGAGAAGUCCUCAUGAAGACUCUUAAGCUGCUCUGUGGAAAGGCCCACAAGAGGAGGAACUGAGGCCUCUACCACCAUCCAGGACCAACUUGCCAGCCAAGUGAGUUAAGUCAUUGAAGGUGGACCUUCCAGCCCCAUUCAAGCCUUCAGAUGACUGCAGCCCCAGCUGACAUUUGACUGAGCCUCAUGAGGACACCCUAUCCAGAACUACCUAGCCAAGUGGCUCCCAUAUUCCCAGCCCAUAG